CAGUAGCCGCGGUAACACGUAGGGUGCAAGCGUUAAUCGGAAUUACUGGGCGUAAAGCGUGCGCAGGCGGUUAUAUAAGACAGAUGUGAAAUCCCCGGGCUCAACCUGGGAACUGCAUUUGUGACUGUAUAGCUAGAGUACGGCAGAGGGGGAUGGAAUUCCGCGUGUAGCAGUGAAAUGCGUAGAUAUGCGGAGGAACACCGAUGGCGAAGGCAAUCCCCUGGGCCUGUACUGACGCUCAUGCACGAAAGCGUGGGGAGCAAACAGGAUUAGAUACCCGUGUAGUCCCUGUCUCUUAUAC
RNAcentral lists this ribosomal RNA (301 nucleotides) under uncultured bacterium. RNAcentral describes it as "partial 16S ribosomal RNA". It matches the Rfam family "Bacterial small subunit ribosomal RNA", at positions 509 to 807 of the family's 1533-position model. The record is from RNAcentral.